RNAcentral lists this ribosomal RNA (500 nucleotides) under uncultured bacterium. RNAcentral's name for it is "partial 16S ribosomal RNA". It matches the Rfam family "Bacterial small subunit ribosomal RNA", at positions 28 to 507 of the family's 1533-position model. The record is from RNAcentral.
GACGAACGCUGGCGGCGUGCUUAACACAUGCAAGUCGAACGGGUCUGCCCUGUUUUUUGCGGGGUGGGUCAGUGGCGAACGGGUGAGUAACACGUGAGUAACCUGCCCCUCACUUCUGGAUAACCGCUUGAAAGGGUGGCUAAUACGGGGUGUUCUGGCUGUGCCGCAUGGUGUGGCUGGGAAAGAUUCACUUUUGUGGUGUUUUGGUGGGGGAUGGGCUCGCGGCCUAUCAGCUUGUUGGUGGGGUGAUGGCCUGCCAAGGCUUUGACGGGUAGCCGGCCUGAGAGGGUGGGCGGUCAGACUGGGACUGAGGUACGGCCCAGACUCCUGCGGGAGGCAGCAGUGGGGGGUAUUGCACAAUGGGCGGAAGCCUGAUGCAGCGACGUCGCGUGAGGGAUGGAGGCCUUCGGGUUGUGAACCUCUUUCGCCGGUGAAGAAGGUCCUGCUCUUUGUGGUGGGGUUGACGGUAGCCGGGUUAUGAAGCGCCGGCUAACUACGUG